CCUACGGGCGGCAGCAGUCGAGAAUCAUUCACAAUGGGGGAAACCCUGAUGGUGCGACGCCGCGUGGGGGAAUGAAGGUCUUCGGAUUGUAAACCCCUGUCAUGUGGGAGCAAGUUAAAAAGAUAGUACCACAAGAGGAAGAGACGGCUAACUCUGUGCCAGCAGCCGCGGUAAUACAGAGGUCUCAAGCGUUGUUCGGAAUCACUGGGCGUAAAGCGUGCGUAGGCUGUUUCGUAAGUCGUGUGUGAAAGGCGCGGGCUCAACCCGCGGACGGCACAUGAUACUGCGAGACUAGAGUAAUGGAGGGGGAACCGGAAUUCUCGGUGUAGCAGUGAAAUGCGGAGAUAUCGAGAGGAACACUCGUGGCGAAGGCGGGUUCCUGGACAUUAACUGACGCUGAGGCACGAAGGCCAGGGGAGCGAAAGGGAUUAGAUACCCGUGUAGUC
RNAcentral lists this ribosomal RNA (446 nucleotides) under uncultured bacterium. RNAcentral's name for it is "partial 16S ribosomal RNA". It matches the Rfam family "Bacterial small subunit ribosomal RNA", at positions 338 to 795 of the family's 1533-position model. The record is from RNAcentral.